UCGAAUGGGGAGAUUCAUCGUCAGCGAUUCCGGUACGUGUGCGGCUCGCGAUGUCCGAGACUUCGGUCUCGCGGCACGCGUCCGCAUGUUUUUUAUUGCUGGAAUCGUCGGCGUGCACUUCUCCCCUAGUAGGACGUCGCGACCCGUUGGGUGUCGGUCUACGGCACGGUAGGUAGCCUGUCACGUGUGCGCUUCACGGCGUUACGCGGGGCAGACCUCCGUUCGCCCGACCGGCUGCUCGGCGGUACUCGCAAGGUAUCUGGCCGCAGACAUACGAACUGCGUCCGGCCCGUCGCAAGCGCGGCAAGUGUUUCCCGGCUGUCACGGAUCUAAUGCCGUCACCGGGCCUUGCCAGCUGUUGGUUGACGGUGUCCUAGGACUGGCUAACAAAAUUAUGAUACCGGUCGGCGACGCUACUGCUUUGGGUACUUUCAGGACCCGUCUUGAAACACGGACCAAGGAGUCUAACAUGUGCGCGAGUCAUUGGGAGCUAUUAAGCCUAAAGGCGCAAUGAAAGUGAAGAUCGGCCUCGCGCCGAUCGAGGGAGGAUGGGCCGCGUCACGAUUCGGUCCCGCA
RNAcentral lists this ribosomal RNA (576 nucleotides) under Ichneumon extensorius. RNAcentral describes it as "eukaryotic LSU rRNA". The record is from RNAcentral. Lineage: Eukaryota; Metazoa; Arthropoda; Insecta; Hymenoptera; Ichneumonidae.